Molecule: unclassified non-coding RNA, 432 nt
Filed under: soil metagenome
Description: partial contains 5.8S ribosomal RNA, internal transcribed spacer 2, and large subunit ribosomal RNA
Rfam family: 5.8S ribosomal RNA (bases 1-120)
Source: RNAcentral
GAUGAAGAACGUAGCGAAAUGCGAUACGUAAUGUGAAUUGCAGAAUUCAGUGAAUCAUCGAAUCUUUGAACGCAUAUUGCGCUCUCUGGUAUUCCGGAGAGCAUGCUUGUUUGAGUAUCGGUAAACACCUCAACUUCCAUAUCUUUUUUGAAAUGGGAGUUGGACUUGAGUGAUCCCAACGCUUUUCCUCACCGAAAAGUGGCGGGUUACUUGAAAUGCAGGUGCAGCUGGACUUUUCUCUGAGCUAUAAGCAUAUCUAUUUAGUCUGCCUAAAAACAGAUUAUUACCUUUGCUGCAGCUAACAUAAAGGAGAUUAGUUCUUGUGCUGACUGAUGCAGGAUUCACAAAGACAGGCUUCGGCCGACUUUGUAAACUCGAUCUCAAAUCAAGUAAGACUACCCGCUGAACUUAAGCAUAUCAAUAAGCGGAGGA